This 1510-nucleotide ribosomal RNA is filed under the name Salmonella enterica subsp. enterica serovar Enteritidis. RNAcentral's name for it is "partial 23S ribosomal RNA". It matches the Rfam family "Bacterial large subunit ribosomal RNA", at positions 646 to 2141 of the family's 2925-position model. Lineage: Bacteria; Pseudomonadati; Pseudomonadota; Gammaproteobacteria; Enterobacterales; Enterobacteriaceae. The record is from RNAcentral.
UUAACCGAAUAGGGGAGCCGGAGGGAAACCGAGUCUUAAUUGGGCGUUAAGUUGCAGGGUAUAGACCCGAAACCCGGUGAUCUAGCCAUGGGCAGGUUGAAGGUUGGGUAACACUAACUGGAGGACCGAACCGACUAAUGUUGAAAAAUUAGCGGAUGACCUGUGGCUGGGGGUGAAAGGCCAAUCAAACCGGGAGAUAGCUGGUUCUCCCCGAAAGCUAUUUAGGUAGCGCCUCGUGAAUUCAUCUCCGGGGGUAGAGCACUGUUUCGGCUAGGGGGCCAUCCCGGCUUACCAACCCGAUGCAAACUGCGAAUACCGGAGAAUGUUAUCACGGGAGACACACGGCGGGUGCUAACGUCCGUCGUGAAGAGGGAAACAACCCAGACCGCCAGCUAAGGUCCCAAAGUCAUGGUUAAGUGGGAAACGAUGUGGGAAGGCCCAGACAGCCAGGAUGUUGGCUUAGAAGCAGCCAUCAUUUAAAGAAAGCGUAAUAGCUCACUGGUCGAGUCGGCCUGCGCGGAAGAUGUAACGGGGCUAAACCAUGCACCGAAGCUGCGGCAGCGACGCUUAUGCGUUGUUGGGUAGGGGAGCGUUCUGUAAGCCUGCGAAGGUGGCCUGUGAGGGUUGCUGGAGGUAUCAGAAGUGCGAAUGCUGACAUAAGUAACGAUAAAGCGGGUGAAAAGCCCGCUCGCCGGAAGACCAAGGGUUCCUGUCCAACGUUAAUCGGGGCAGGGUGAGUCGACCCCUAAGGCGAGGCCGAAAGGCGUAGUCGAUGGGAAACGGGUUAAUAUUCCCGUACUUGGUGUUACUGCGAAGGGGGGACGGAGAAGGCUAUGUUGGCCGGGCGACGGUUGUCCCGGUUUAAGCGUGUAGGCUGGUUUUCCAGGCAAAUCCGGAAAAUCAAGGCUGAGGCGUGAUGACGAGGCACUACGGUGCUGAAGCAACAAAUGCCCUGCUUCCAGGAAAAGCCUCUAAGCAUCAGGUAACAUCAAAUCGUACCCCAAACCGACACAGGUGGUCAGGUAGAGAAUACCAAGGCGCUUGAGAGAACUCGGGUGAAGGAACUAGGCAAAAUGGUGCCGUAACUUCGGGAGAAGGCACGCUGACACGUAGGUGAAGUGAUUUACUCACGGAGCUGAAGUCAGUCGAAGAUACCAGCUGGCUGCAACUGUUUAUUAAAAACACAGCACUGUGCAAACACGAAAGUGGACGUAUACGGUGUGACGCCUGCCCGGUGCCGGAAGGUUAAUUGAUGGGGUCAGCGCAAGCGAAGCUCCUGAUCGAAGCCCCGGUAAACGGCGGCCGUAACUAUAACGGUCCUAAGGUAGCGAAAUUCCUUGUCGGGUAAGUUCCGACCUGCACGAAUGGCGUAAUGAUGGCCAGGCUGUCUCCACCCGAGACUCAGUGAAAUUGAACUCGCUGUGAAGAUGCAGUGUACCCGCGGCAAGACGGAAAGACCCCGUGAACCUUUACUAUAGCUUGACACUGAACAUUGAGCCUUGAUGUGUAG